GGGAGCGGGCCGGGAUCGGAACCCGGGAUCGGGAUCGGCCUCGCACCGCCCGUCCGGGACACAGAGCGCAGCCCGGACCCCCGGACGGCGCGAGGGGAGGCACUGACAGCCGCGGCUCGGAGCGCAGAUCUAGAACUGCUUGCACAACCUCCGUGCCUCCAGGAUGGAAAACUGAUCAAUGUAUUUCAGCCUGACCUUGUAAACAGCUGUAACUGACGACAAUCCCUUGGAAAGUGACAAGUAAAGUGGAAUUUUCAUGGAAAAUUGAUAUUCCUAUAGCUUCCCUCAGUGAAACAAGCCUUCCUCAAGCUGUGAUAAGUGCUUCUCAACAUUUCAGUCUGUUGGAAACUUCAUACCUUUAAUGGUAUGCACCAAUUAAUUUUUUUUUUUUUCUUGCGAUGCAUAGCAAUCCAGAACUUACCCCUAAGGUAACAAUAUACAGUCAAGAAUUUUAGCUUGCACUGAGCUCCAUUGGGAUAGAUUCCCUGGGAGGCUUCCAUGGAAGAUGAAGGAACUUUUGAGUGCCAUCAGUUUUUCAAGGACACUCUCCUGGAAGCACAAAACCAGUUCAUGCUCAUUAAGGGUAAGGAAAGUAGGCGGAACAAGAGACUCCCUUGGCUUAAAUGUGAGCUUUUGAGUCUGCUUAAAACCAAAAGAGAAGCGUACUAGAAAUGGAAAACCCAUGGAGAGCUACAAGGAUACUGCCAGGGUAAGCAGAUGCAGUUACAAAAGCAAAAACUCAGCUCAAAUUGAAAUUGGCCACAGAGGUCAAAAAAACACAAGAAAGGGUUCUUCGGGUACGUAAACAACAAACAGAAGGAAAUACUGGCCCAUGUCAAGCAUAACAGGUGAAUUGAUCACCCGUAAUGCUAAAAAGGCAGAGAUUCCCAACACAUUCACCUCUGUCCUCACUUUGGGACACAGGUCCUGGGGUCAAAAAUCCAGGUUUAUACAAGCACCGACACAGUGAAAGAAGAGCUUGUCUGUGAACUAUCACAGGAGCCUACAAAUUGGUGGGUCUGGAUGUUACACGUCCAAGGGUUUUAAGAGAGCUGGCUGAUGUUCCAAGGAUGAGCAUUCCAAGGGCGCUCUCCAUAAUCUUGAAGAAGUUGUGGACAUCAGGGGACGUCCCAGAAGACUGGGAGAAGGCUGAUGUCACCCCAUCUACAGGAAGGGCUUAAAGGAGGAUCCAGGAAAUUACAGACCCAUCAGUUUUACUCCAUUCCCUGGGAAAGUUGGGGAACAAAUUCUCCUGGGGGCUGUCACAAAUCAAAUGAAGCACAUGGUUGGGAAAAGCCAGCAGGGAUUCACCAAAGGCAAGUCAUGCUUGACAAACCUGAUCACCCUCUGACAACACAAUGACCUGCUCAGGUGAUGUGGGGUGAGCAAUGGACAUUGUCUCCAAGACUUUCGGUAUGUUUUCCCAGAGACUCCUCCUAAAGUAAUAGAUGUAUUAGGAUCUAGACAAGUGGUCCAUGCAGUGGAUGGGGAAGUGGCUACCCAGACACAGCCGGAGGAUGGUGAUAAAGAACUCCUUUUCAAACUGGCGGCCUGUGACAAGUGGGGUCCCCCGGGAUCAAUAUUGGGCCGAUGUCUGUUUAAUAGCCUCAUAAGUGAUCUGGAGGAUGGAAUCAAGUGUAUCCUGAAGUUUGCUGAAAAUACCAACCUGAGGGGGAAAGUGAACACUUUGGGAGAGAGAGCCACCCUGCAAGAAGACCUGGAUAGGUUGGAAGCUUGGGCUGCCAAGAACUUUAUGAAGUUCCACAAGGACUAGAAUUUGCACCUGGGAAAAUCCAAUCCAGGAAUGCAGCACAAGUGGGGAUCUGUCUGGCAGGGGACCAGCUCUGUGGCAAGGGACCUGAGGGUCCUGGAGCAAGCUCAUUAUGAGUGACCAGGGUGCUGCUGCAUCAAAGAAGGCCAAGGAAGGUUGGACCAGAGUCCUUUCAACCUGGCACUAUGUGAUACUGGGAUCAAACUAAGAUCUUAUAGCCUAACAGCAGGUAGUAAUUAGCCCUACAUAACUGGAUGUCAUUCACUGUGGAUUACUGGUCUGCUUUUUAUAGAACAUACCUGAAAUUAUUCAGCCUUAUUAGAAAUGUGGUUCAAUAAACACCUUAAAAUAAGCUGUAACAGAAUGAAAAAUUUCCAGCCAGAAAAAAUAUGCAUAGGAAGAGAAUUUCACACCCAAAAUGGCAAAGAAUUUCAAAUGUUUCUGUUGAAACACUAAAAAAGAUCAACACAAAAGUUUAAUGAUGUAGUCCCAAGCUUGCAGACACAGGAAGCAUGCUACCAUAAAAUCAGGGGAAAUAGAUUAGCAAUCUAGAGACCAGAUGGUUAGUAUUUACUUGCUGACAUAACACCACCAAAUGUUCCUAAAUUUCUUUUUUAAAUUUGUCUUUCACAUUACAUUAUCAGCAUAGGAACUGAUCUUGCAAACAUAUACAUAAAGAUUUCAAUAUAUUUAUUCAUUUGGGUAGUCCCAUUGACUUUAGAACAGGAGACUGUUCACAGAUCCAGGCUGUCAGCUUAGGCUAAGUCUACCCUAAGAGUUGUAAACUGUUUGCCUACACCAAAUUGGGCCUGGGAAAAAAAAAAAAUCCUGUGUAUGAUUUUGUUCUGGUUUUGUUCUUUGCAAGAGAGAGCAGUUUAUGGAGAAUAUGAUAAAAGACAUUCCCUGUCCAUAAAUAUAUCUCCUUGUCUGGUGGAUAACUGUUAAACUUGGCAAGGUCUGAAAUAAAAUGAAAUCUUAAAAUUCUUCUCCAAUUUGAAGUCAAAGAGUAAAAAUAAAAAAAUUACAAACAUUUUUACACAGCAAAUUGUUAAUAUCAGCAUGAGAAAAUUUUUCUUAAUUAUAACAGGAUCCACUUACAAAUUAUUUAACCUCUCUCCUCUGUGAAAAAUAUCCUUGAUUCCAAGUGUCUGUUCAGAGCCCUAUUUUUCCCUGGUGGGAAAAAUUGUCACUCCUUGCUCAACACUGUUUUGUGGCUUGUUUAAGUUAUCUGUAGGGUCUCUCUAUUAAAAUUAUACAGAAUUUCACUAGCAUUAGCUUUUCAUACUCAAAGUUUUCUCCUUCAAUUUUAUGUUUUUUCUUUCAUUUUCACUUUCUAAAAUGUGUCCCCUCAUCCCUGUCAUUAUUGGGUUUUUGUGGAGGCAUUUAUUUACACUGCCCCUUUGUCCAUCCUAGUUUUUCCCAUCUUUCAUCAAAAUCUGCUUCUCAAUUGCUUGCAUGUUUCUCGAUGUCUCGUUUUCUCAUCUGCUUCCUCAGGUUCCUUUUCCUUUAUUGUCACAUCACUUACAAAGUCACCUGCCUCCAGGCAGUGUA
Long non-coding RNA from Hirundo rustica (Barn swallow), 3322 nucleotides. RefSeq lists it as uncharacterized. Lineage: Eukaryota; Metazoa; Chordata; Aves; Passeriformes; Hirundinidae. The transcript has 3 exons. The record is from RefSeq and is a predicted model, not a curated record.